This 497-nucleotide ribosomal RNA is filed under the name uncultured bacterium. RNAcentral's name for it is "partial 16S ribosomal RNA". It matches the Rfam family "Bacterial small subunit ribosomal RNA", at positions 28 to 507 of the family's 1533-position model. The record is from RNAcentral.
GACGAACGCUGGCGGCGUGCCUAAUACAUGCAAGUUGAGCGCUGAAGGUUGGUACUUGUACCAACUGGAUGAGCAGCGAACGGGUGAGUAACGCGUGGGGAAUCUGCCUUUGAGCGGGGGACAACAUUUGGAAACGAAUGCUAAUACCGCAUAAAAACUUUAAACACAAGUUUUAAGUUUGAAAGAUGCAAUUGCAUCACUCAAAGAUGAUCCCGCGUUGUAUUAGCUAGUUGGUGAGGUAAAGGCUCACCAAGGCGAGGAUACAUAGCCGACCUGAGAGGGUGAUCGGCCACAUUGGGACUGAGACACGGCCCAAACUCCUACGGGAGGCAGCAGGAGGGAAUCUUCGGCAAUGGACGAAAGUCUGACCGAGCAACGCCGCGUGAGUGAAGAAGGUUUUCGGAUCGUAAAACUCUGUUGGUAGAGAAGAACGUUGGUGAGAGUGGAAAGCUCAUCAAGUGACGGUAACUACCCAGAAAGGGACGGCUAACUACGUG